Molecule: long non-coding RNA, 936 nt
Organism: Balaenoptera acutorostrata (minke whale)
Lineage: Eukaryota; Metazoa; Chordata; Mammalia; Artiodactyla; Balaenopteridae
Exons: 4
Source: RefSeq, a predicted model, not a curated record
GCGGGGGCGGGGCCUGUCAUGGCCGCCUCUGGAGUCAAUUCCAGGAACCCUGAGUCUGAUACUCUCAGAUCAUGACGGAAUUGCAAGCAUAGUUUGGCUGGUGAUGCAAGAAUUCAGCAAAAAUCAACGAAAGGAUUAGGGAGUGCUGAUUCAGGUUAUUAAGGCUUUGCUUGAUGACACACCACUGCAGUGGUCUGGAACCAAAGCUGCAAUAUCUCCAAGGAGGUCUGUAUUUCGGAAUUGUCGUUUAGUGAAUGUGUGACCAUGAAUAUAUUCAUGUAUGUGCAUUGUGUUUUUCCCUUUGCUUCCCAAAGAUAAAAUCACAGACUUGAGACCCACAGGAGGGGAUGAAUAUUUUACUCCCUCUUGAUAUGUAUUUAAAAGUUUGCCUUCCAGAAGGAAUCAGCCAAUGUACCUCUCCACCAGCUGUACUUACAGGUGUGCCGGCCUGUAGAAGACACCACAGAUUACCCACUGCAUGUCCCUCAGGAAAUGAGACCUGAUUUGAUUCUGGAGUGUGGGGGGCAAUUUGCCCAUCCCACCCUGUAUCUAUGGGUAGCUAAUGAGAUGUAAGCAGAAUUACUGAGUGAGUCAUCUGGAAAGCUCCUUAAGAGGGGAUAACUGGAAAUGAGCCCUUUUUGCCCCCAUGCCUGCUUUCUGUUGUGAUGGUUGGAUCUCCAGCAGCCAUCUUGGGCCAUGAGGCUAUUUUGAGGAUGGAAGCUCCACACUAUGCAAGGCAGAAAAGAAAGAUCUCCCCCACUCCCUCCUGCUGAGCUGACAUUGCCCUGUUGCAUACCCCAGCUGCUCUGUGGGUUUUGUGAAACUGUGUGUGAAGUCUCUAUCUCAUUGUAUUAUAUGCAGGCAAGACUGAACUCUCCUACAGAUGUCUGGAGUAAGCUAUGGUGUAGUGUUUUUUUUUGGCACAUAAUAAGCACG